CCACCAAGGACAGCCGGCAGCCGAAAGCAUUUGAUAGGGACAGCCCAGGCCCCCUCGGAAAGCGCACUGGGAACUCGGUCCCCGCAGGCUGCGUGGGGACCCAGGCGCGGCCGCCCCCGCCAACCUCGCACAUGCACUCGCACACGUAGGCGGGAGCCGCAGGCGGUCCCGCGCCCCGCACACCGGCCGGCUGCAGCGGGCGCUGAGCCCAGGCACGUACCGGGGCGGGGCCAGCGGGCGGAGGCCGCGGCGUUUGCAACCGCAGCAGGUAGCACCGAGCUCGCUGGCUUGCCCGGAGCAGGAGUGCCAGGCUCUCUGCCUGCUCGCUCGCCCGGGUCGGGCUGCGCCGCUCUCAGGCACCUGCCUCGCUCUGCGUUUCGGAAUGCAGCCAAGACGGAAUAAAGGAAAUUCCAUAGUAAGGGGAGAUCGGGUGUCUGAGCAGCGUCUUGGAUAAAAAUCACCCCUGACAGGUACCUACCUCUGGUGAACUCUGUCUGGUGCUUCCAUCAGAAGGACUUGCUGGCUGAUCUUGAAUCUGGGGCAUGGUAAACGAAAGUUCCAGGGACUCUGGAUUCGGCUCUAAUUUUAAUGCGACUUCUUGAUUCAGCGCAGGAUCAGCACUGCUUCGAAGUGGCUUUGGCGUUUCGGAGGCAGGUACCAGCAUCAGAAUUUCAGUUGGCUACAGAAUCAACACCUCUAAUCACAGGCUAUAGAGCUUGUAGCAAAAAGAGACCAACAAGACAGCAACAGAACACACACUGUGACAGAAGCACGUACAAGAGUGUUGCCUAAGAAGAUGCUGUUAGAAGGAUGCAUCUUUUUAUCCAGCUUCAUGAACACAUGCAAUGUACCAUUAAGUCUUUACUAUACUCCACCCUGGGCAGUGAUUACAAGACCACAGAGAGUCCUUGAAUUGCAGGAGGAGAGUCUACACUUUGCGUGACUACAUGACUGUUACUCAUCUGUGCUGGUGUGAAGAAAAUAUGAAAAUGAACUCACCAGCAUCCAGAAGUUUCCUCACACGUAAGUAACUGAUGGUGAGCCUCAUAACAGAAGCUUUAUCAAGAUGUGAGCUCACAUUGUGGGGAAGUGGCAGCUGAUGAGCAAGCUCAUAAAAAACUUCGGACUCUUUGCUUCGCCGAGAUCUCGCUGCAUCUCUAGACUUUUCUUUUCGACGUUCAGAACUCAUCCUACUUAACAGAAAAAAGAAAAAAAGGAAGAAAAGAGACAAGAAUGCAUAUGUUAGUUUGUCUAAACUUGAAUAAAACUAAUUUUGCAUUUUCCUGUGUAAGGAUUAGAAGAAGGCAUGUAAUUAUAUAAGACUGCUAUACAAAAUUUGGAUCACUGAAAACAUAAUAAAUUCUGUUAAGAUGU
Molecule: long non-coding RNA, 1374 nt
Organism: Onychomys torridus (southern grasshopper mouse)
Lineage: Eukaryota; Metazoa; Chordata; Mammalia; Rodentia; Cricetidae
Exons: 6
Source: RefSeq, a predicted model, not a curated record